CAGUAGCCGCGGUAAUACGGAGGGGGCUAGCGUUGUUCGGAAUUACUGGGCGUAAAGCGCACGUAGGCGGCUUUGUAAGUCAGAGGUGAAAGCCCGGGGCUCAACCCCGGAAUUGCCUUUGAGACUGCAUCGCUUGAAUCCAGGAGAGGUGAGUGGAAUUCCGAGUGUAGAGGUGAAAUUCGUAGAUAUAGGAAGGAACACCAGUGGCGAAGGCGACCACCUGGACUGAUACUGACACUGAGGUGCGAAAGCGUGGGGAGCAAACAGGAUUAGAUACCCCCGUAGUCCCUGUCUCUUAUAC
This 301-nucleotide ribosomal RNA is filed under the name uncultured bacterium. Its description in RNAcentral is "partial 16S ribosomal RNA". It matches the Rfam family "Bacterial small subunit ribosomal RNA", at positions 509 to 807 of the family's 1533-position model. The record is from RNAcentral.